This is a long non-coding RNA of Ictalurus punctatus (channel catfish), 1895 nucleotides long. The record is from Ensembl. Lineage: Eukaryota; Metazoa; Chordata; Actinopteri; Siluriformes; Ictaluridae.
GUCACCGAGCAAUUAGAGGGAAACACACACACACACACACACACACACCCGCACACACAUACACACACACACACAGAGCAGAGUUAGAUCCCAAAGCACACAUUUCUCUUCAUCACUGAAAGGAUUUCGGAAGUAAAGGAGGCUCGCGCGCUUUCACACUAAAACCACUGGAUCAAAAUCUGGAGAUGUACACUGACUUUUUUUUUUUUUUUUUUUUUUUGUUGUGUGUGUGUGUGUGUGUGUGUGUGUGUGUGUGUGUGUAUCAAACUGAACAAUGUGGGAUAGGUGUGGAAAAAACCAGCACAGAUGACAUGAGAUCCACAUAAAAAACCUCUUCCUCUUCAUCAUUUAAGCCUCUGACAUACCUUAAGGCAGGAAUCCCAAAUGCACUACAUGUGCUCACUACAUAAGGGUCGUGGGAAGCCUGGAGCCUUUCCCAGGGGAUUCGGGGCACAAGACAGGGGACACGCUGGACACCCAUCGCAGGACACAUUCACACACACAUUCACAUACUACGGACCAUUUAGAGAUGCAAAUCUGCCUACAGUGUAUAUCUUUGGACUGGGGGAGGAAACUGGAGUACCCGGAGGAAACCUUUGAAGCACAGGGAGAGCAUGCUCUGUGCACACAGGGUGGAGGAGGAAUUCGAACCCCCCAUCCCUGGAGGUGCGAAGCAAAUGUGCUAACCACUAAACCACCAAAUAAUAACUCAACAAUUCUAAUGAAACUCUUAUCAGUCUUUAAGCUAAAUAACCAAACUGUAACACUAUUUAUGUGUUCAGAUAUUGCCAUUUAUCAAGAACAAAAAGAAGCAACAGCAACAAUAUUAUAUUCAGGAUGUACUUUUCUUGUACAAUUUUGUUUUAUAACACUGAUUUGUUGUUCUGUUCUAUACAGUAUGUACACUUUGUUCAUCAUUAAAUAUAUAUAUAUAUAUAUAUAUAUAUAUAUAUAUAUAUAUAUAUAUAUAUAUAUAUAUAUAUAUAUAUAUCAAUUAAAUAGGGGGCAGUGGGAGCAGAAAGAGCUCUGUUCACUCAGAGAAAGAUGAAGAAUGUGAUGGGGAAAGAGGAAGGAUGUAGAGAAUCAGGUUGCUUAAUAUAGACAAACAUUUUCAGUAUCUGUCACAGUCCCUAAAGCCUCAGUAAUGUGUACCAUGGGAUUAACACUCCUGUGUUUAUGAGCACACACACACACACACAUUAGUAAAAUCCAACAGUUCUCAUCAGUGUGUGACUGUGGACUCUCUGACCUUACUGUGAGAGUAAACAGCAGUCAUAAAGUAGCCAAACACGGCUAAAGCCAUGAACUAGUUUAUUAGACAUCCAUAUAUCCGGAGCUGCUCCCCAAUAAAGACGUCAUGGAUAGUGAUGAACUCUCAGCUAGUGGGAGGAAACAAUAGAGAGAGAGAGAGAGAGAGAGAGAUGAAUUAUAGGUGUACUAUAUAACUCAGUAUACUAUAUAUAGUGCAAAAUAAUAUUCUUUUCAGUGUUUCACACACUUCACAUUCCAGGUGCACCGCAACAUGGCUGCACUGGAAAAAGUGCAAAUCCUUCCCCACUUUUGUAUAUUGCACUGUGUUUAUUGUCUUCUUAUGUACUUUUUUUCAUUAUGUAUGUUUUUAUUCUGUUUUGAUCGUUUGUUUUGACUUGGGUCCAUACGGCAUAAGGAAACCCCAGCAUGCUCAGCACUUAGUCACUGACUUCAUGUCUCUUUAGUUAAUGUACAGUAUAAUUCAAAAGUUUGGACAUGCAUUGUAAUAGAGAGGGGUUUAUUUUCUCCCCCAUAUUUUCAGUAAUUUCUACCUUUUAAAAUAAUAGUGAAGACAUUCAUUGGAUCUGACUGGACGGAUCUGGAGUCUGUCCCGGGAACACUAGGGUACAGGGCACCAUGCAGAC